Molecule: ribosomal RNA, 1953 nt
Filed under: Triticum aestivum (bread wheat)
Lineage: Eukaryota; Viridiplantae; Streptophyta; Magnoliopsida; Poales; Poaceae
Description: partial small subunit ribosomal RNA
Source: RNAcentral
AUGGGCGGGUCCGAGAGGACCGUUGUGUGGUUCAGGAGGGACCUCAGGAUCGACGACAACCCGGCUUUGGCCGCCGCCGCCAGGGACGGCGCGGUGCUCCCUGUCUUCAUAUGGUGCCCGGCCGAGGAGGGCCGCUUCUACACCGGCCGCUGCUCCCGGUGGUGGCUCAAGGAGUCGCUUGCCCACCUUGCCAGGUCGCUCCAGGCGCUCGGCUGCCCGCUCGUGCUCAUCCGAGCUCAGACUACUCUUGCCGCCCUUCUGCAGUGCGUUGAUUCCAUCGGCGCCACCAGAGUGGUCUAUAAUCAUCUAUACGACCCUAUUUCACUUGUGCGGGAUGACAAAAUCAAGAAUGAGCUUUUGGGCCUUGGAAUUUCUAUGCAGAGUUUCAAUGGUGAUCUGCUAUAUGAGCCAUGGGAAGUUUAUGAUGAGAAUGGGCUUGCAUUUACAACGUUCAAAAAGUAUUGGGAAAAGUGCAUGAAAUUACAUAUCGAUAUAUCACCAUCUCUUGCCCCUUGGAGGUUGGUGCCUGUCUCAGGUAUAGAAAACAUUUGCAGUAGUUCAAUUGAUAACCUAGGUCUUGAAUCAAGUAAGGAUGAGGAAUCAAGCAAUGCUUUGCUAAGCAGGGCUUGGUCUCCUGGCUGGCGCAAUGCGGAGAAGACACUUGAGGAUUUCGUGUCUCAUGGUCUCCUAGAUUAUUCAAAAGACAGAAUGAAGGUUGCCGGAACUACAACAUCGUUAUUGUCACCAUAUCUUCAUUAUGGUGAGGUGAGUGUAAGGAAAAUCUAUCAACUUGUCAGGGUGCAACAGAUCAAGUGGGAAAAUGAGGGGAAAUCCGGAGCUGGGGAGAGUGUUAACUUGUUCCUGCUGUCAAUUGGUCUUCGAGAAUAUUCACGUUACUUGUGUUUCAACUUUCCAUUCACACAUGAAAGGUCGCUGCUGGGGAACUUGAAACACUACCCCUGGCGAGCAGACGAGGACCGGUUCAAAUCCUGGAGACAGGGAAUGACAGGAUACCCGUUAGUAGAUGCUGGCAUGAGGGAGCUAUGGGCUACUGGCUGGACACAUAAUCGUAUAAGAGUAAUAGUUUCAAGCUUUGCUGUGAAAUUUCUACAAAUUCCGUGGACUUGGGGGAUGAAGUACUUUUGGGAUGUGCUGUUGGAUGCUGAUAUAGAAAGUGAUAUUCUUGGCUGGCAGUACAUAUCUGGGUCUUUGCCUGAUGGACACGAGCUUGGUCGUCUUGAUAAUCCAGAGGUUCAAGGUCAAAAGUAUGACCCAGAUGGUGAAUACGUAAGAACUUGGAUUCCAGAGCUAGCUAGAAUGCCAGGGGAAUGGAUCCAUCAUCCGUGGGAUGCACCGAGCUCUAUACUAGAAGUUGCUGGUGUUGAGCUAGGCUUCAACUAUCCUAUGCCCAUAGUAGAACUUCACACGGCUCGGGAGUGCUUAGAUGAUGCCAUCUCCACGAUGUGGCAAUUGGAUACAGCCGAAAAACUAGCAGAAUUAGAUGGUGAGGUUGUUGAAGACAACUUGAGCCAUAUCAAGAGUUUUGAUGUCCCAAAAGUUGUUUUGAAGGAACUAUCUCCUCACUGUGAUAGAAAAGUGCCCACUGAUGAUGGCAGGAAUCUUGAGUUACAACCUAAGGAACUGAAGGGCACAAAUAAACAGACCAUUUGUGUUGAUGUAAUCAAGGCCUCAAAGAUGGAAGACACAGGCUCCAUAGCAAACUCUCCGAUAUCAAGGAAAAGAUCCAGCAGUGGGAGUGUGUUUAAUGUCCCAUCUUAUUCAUCUUCAGUCGAAGUGCACUCACAGAAUCAGCAUCCUGGUGGUUAUUUAGUUGGGUCGUCAAAAUAUAUCCUGCAGAAAGCAGAGAGGAACUGUGUUGGUAAGGCAGAAGAUGAUGACAGUGCCGAUAGUGGUACAAACACCUCAAGAGCAUCCAAGAGACCUGCCGCCUGA